UGAAGAACGCAGCGAAAUGCGAUAAGUAAUGUGAAUUGCAGAAUUCAGUGAAUCAUCGAAUCUUUGAACGCACAUUGCGCCCGCCAGUAUUCUGGCGGGCAUGCCUGUUCGAGCGUCAUUACAACCCUCAGGCUCCCGGGCCUGGCGUUGGGGAUCGGCGGAGCCCCCCGUGGGCACACGCCGUCCCCCAAAUACAGUGGCGGUCCCGCCGCAGCUUCCAUCGCGUAGUAGCUAACACCUCGCGACUGGAGAGCGGCGCGGCCACGCCGUAAAACACCCAACUCUUCUGAAGUUGACCUCGAAUCAGGUAGGAAUACCCGCUGAACUUAAGCAUAUCAAUAAGCGGAGGA
Molecule: unclassified non-coding RNA, 350 nt
Filed under: soil metagenome
Description: partial contains 5.8S ribosomal RNA, internal transcribed spacer 2, and large subunit ribosomal RNA
Rfam family: 5.8S ribosomal RNA (bases 1-118)
Source: RNAcentral